Molecule: ribosomal RNA, 489 nt
Filed under: uncultured bacterium
Lineage: Bacteria
Description: partial 16S ribosomal RNA
Rfam family: Bacterial small subunit ribosomal RNA
Source: RNAcentral
UUGAACGCUGGCGGCAUGCUUUACACAUGCCCGUCGGACGGCAGCACAGAGAAGCUUGCUUCUUGGGUGGCGCGUGGCGAACGGGUGAGUAAUAUAUCGGAACGUACCGAGUAAUGGGGGAUAACUAAUCGAAAGAUUAGCUAAUACCGCAUAUUCUCUGAGGAGGAAAGCAGGGGACCUUCGGGCCUUGCGUUAUUCGAGCGACCGAUAUCUGAUUAGCUAGUUGGUGGGGUAAAGGCCUACCAAGGCGACGAUCAGUAGCGGGUCUGAGAGGAUGAUCCGCCACACUGGGACUGAGACACGGCCCAGACUCCUACGGGAGGCAGCAGUGGGGAAUUUUGGACAAUGGGCGCAAGCCUGAUCCAGCCAUGCCGCGUGUCUGAAGAAGGCCUUCGGGUUGUAAAGGACUUUUGUCAGGGAAGAAAAGGCUGUUGCUAAUAUCAAUAGCUGAUGACGGUACCUGAAGAAUAAGCACCGGCUAACUACGUG